GUCGAACAGUUAUGUAUGCCGAUUAACAAAUUUAAGUAGUUGGGAAUUUAUCUUUAAGAUCGGUGUUAACUUUAUCGAAAUAAUUUUUAUAAAUAAAUAUCUUAAUAACCUUAGCACUAAGCGAGCUAUUUUCUACAUAGAGUAAUAAAUUCCAAUUCAAGAGGAUGCAGAUUGAUAGCAGGAAUGAUCAAAGAAUGGAGAGGAGGGCCUAGGUCGAUAGAAGCCAUUUCUCCAAGAGAACAAGCAACGAUGCGUUGAUUGUCCCAACCUACACGAGCUAAACCCACUACGAGACUUGAUUCCUGCAACGCUGUAAAACAACAAAUUUCAUUUUCCAUGGAUUCAUUAGAGGCAGGAUUAUUUAGAAAUGAUACUUUUCUAGUAUCUUACCUGAUCUCUCCUUGGUUUCUUCAUUUUUUUCUUCUAUGACUUUUAAUAAUUGAGUAGCAGCUUCUGAGACACUCAUAAACUGAGACGGCAUAUAUUCUUUUUUCUUUUUAGUAAUACUCUCUAUCGUAGGCUCCUUUAUUUUAAUGUCUAAUAAGCACAAUGUAUGUAGAUCUCUCUGCCUAUUUGAGAUAAUUUUCUCAUAAAAACUAUUUGGUUGCCAAUCAUUGUUCCAAUAAGGGAUAGAAACAGUUUCUCCAAAACGAUAUAAUUGCAAACCACAGCAUCCAAUUGCUGUCAAAAUAGAGGAAUUGUGAACAAUCUUUACCUGAAUCAUGGAAUAAUAAAAACUUUUAAUAUCGAUUAAUAAAAUUCGUUUUAUUAAACAAA
This is a long non-coding RNA of Bombus terrestris (buff-tailed bumblebee), 777 nucleotides long. RefSeq lists it as uncharacterized. The record is from RefSeq and is a predicted model, not a curated record. The transcript has 2 exons. Lineage: Eukaryota; Metazoa; Arthropoda; Insecta; Hymenoptera; Apidae.